AUAACAGUAGAGGGCCAAUGGUCUUCUUAUUGGAAUGAGAACAAUUUAAACCCCUUAACGAGGAUCAAUUAGAGGGCAAGUCUGGUGCCAGCAGCCGCGGUAAUUCCAGCUCUAAUAGCAUAUAUUAAAGUUGUUGCAGUUAAAAAGCUCGUAGUCGGAUUUUGGGCGCGUGUGAACUGUCAGCCUCUGGUUGGACGGUGCGCGCGUGCCUUUCUGCUUGGGAGCCCCAUGGUGGUUAAUUCUGUCGUGGUGGGUCACAGGCCGUUUACUUUGAAAAAAUUAGAGUGUUCAAAGCAGGCUGUUGCUUGAAUAGAUUAGCAUGGAAUAAUGGAAUAGGACCUUGGUGCUAUUUCGUCGGUUAUGGGACUAGGGUAAUGAUUAAUAGGGACAGUUGGGGCCGUUCAUAUUUCGUUGUCAGAGGUGAAAUUCUUGGAUUUACGAACGAUGAACUUGUGCGAAAGCAUUCGACAAGGAUGUUUUCUUUGAUCAAGAACGAAAGUUAGGGGAUCGAAGACGAUCAGAUACCGUCGUAGUCUUAACCAUAAACUAUGCCAACUAGGGAUCAUUGAGUGUCAAUUUACGACCUCAUUGGCACCUUGUGAGAAAUCAAAGUUUUUGGGUUCCGGGGGGAGUAUGGUCGCAAGGCUGAAACUUAAAGGAAUUGACGGAAGGGCGCCACCAGGAGUGGAGCCUGCGGCUUAAUUUGACACAACACGGGGAAACUUACCAGGUCCAGACAUAGUCAGGAUGGACAGAUUGAAAGCUCUUUCUUGAUUCUAUGGGUGGUGGUGCAUGGCCGUUCUUAGUUGGUGGAGUGAUUAGUCUGGUUAAUUCCGUUAACGAACGAGACCUCAGCCUGCUAACUAGCGAUGCCCAUUUUUAAUGGGUAGCCCGCUUCUUAGAGGAACUAUUCGUGUUCAACGAAUGGAAGUUUGAGGCAAUAACAGGUCUGUGAUGCCCUUAGAUGUUCUGGGCCGCACGCCGCUACACUGAUGGAUGCAACGAGCUCUACCCUUGACCGAAAGGCCCGGGUAAACUUGUCAAAAUCCAUCGUGAUGGGGAUAGAUUAUUGCAAUUCUUGAUCUUCAACGAGGAAUUCCUAGUAAGCGCGAGUCAUCAGCUCGCGUUGAUUACGUCCCUGCCCUUUGUACACACCGCCCGUCGCUCCUACCGAUUGAAUGGUCCGGCGAAAUCUUCAGAUUGCUGGCGAGGCUAACCCCUCGCUGUGAGAAGUUGAU
RNAcentral lists this ribosomal RNA (1238 nucleotides) under metagenome. RNAcentral describes it as "SSU rRNA". It matches the Rfam family "Eukaryotic small subunit ribosomal RNA", at positions 477 to 1759 of the family's 1831-position model. The record is from RNAcentral.